CUGACGGUACUUGAGGAAUCAGCCUCGGCUAACUCCGUGCCAGCAGCCGCGGUAAUACGGGGGAGGCAAGCGUUAUCCGGAAUUAUUGGGCGUAAAGCGUCCGCAGGUGGUCAGCCAAGUCUGCCGUCAAAUCAGGUUGCUUAACGACCUAAAGGCGGUGGAAACUGGCAGACUAGAGAGCAGUAGGGGUAGCAGGAAUUCCCAGUGUAGCGGUGAAAUGCGUAGAGAUUGGGAAGAACAUCGGUGGCGAAAGCGUGCUACUGGGCUGUAUCUGACACUCAGGGACGAAAGCUAGGGGAGCGAAAGGGAUUAGAUACC
RNAcentral lists this ribosomal RNA (318 nucleotides) under Microcystis sp. MIC058-B. RNAcentral describes it as "bacterial SSU rRNA". It matches the Rfam family "Bacterial small subunit ribosomal RNA", at positions 469 to 786 of the family's 1533-position model. Lineage: Bacteria; Bacillati; Cyanobacteriota; Cyanophyceae; Chroococcales; Microcystaceae. The record is from RNAcentral.